AUAACGACAAGGAACAAGUGAAGUAGCGUUGCAAGUCGCUUCAAGAGACCCGGCGGAAGGUGCGAGCCGGGACGACCGCAACCGCGAAUUUACGCUUGGGAGUCUCUGCGCAGUCCGCAGACGGUGAAUCCGUUAUCUUCCCAAGCGCACUUUCGAGUGAACUAAGGUGGUACCGCGGUUGUCAAAAUCGUCCUUGCA
Molecule: non-coding RNA, 198 nt
Filed under: Mycoplasmatota bacterium
Lineage: Bacteria; Bacillati; Mycoplasmatota
Description: Tenericutes bacterium T-box sequence
Rfam family: T-box leader
About the family: Uncharged tRNA acts as the effector for transcription antitermination of genes in the T-box leader family.
Source: RNAcentral